Pongo abelii (Sumatran orangutan) is the source of this 148-nucleotide unclassified non-coding RNA. It matches the Rfam family "Metazoan signal recognition particle RNA". Rfam says of the family: The signal recognition particle (SRP) is a universally conserved ribonucleoprotein. It is involved in the co-translational targeting of proteins to membranes. The record is from Ensembl. Lineage: Eukaryota; Metazoa; Chordata; Mammalia; Primates; Hominidae.
GCCAGGCAUGGUGGCGGACGCCUGUAAUCCCAGCUUCUCAGGAGGCUGAGGCAGGAGAAUCGCUUGAACCCAGGAGGCAGAGGUUGCAGUGAGCCGAGAUCGUGCCACUGCACUCCAGCCUGGGCAACAGAGUGAGACUCUGUCUCAU